AAAUUUCCCUGGACAGUGUUGAGUUAUUUGAUGCAGAAGAUCAUAUCUGGGAGAGAGAGUAAAAAAGAAAUCAUCUCUUUCAUUCUUCCAUUAUUUUUUUCUUUGUUUCCUAGUUCUUGUUGGACAACCACUAACAGGACAGGACAUGGAUUCACCUUUUUCUGGUUACAUUUUUCCUCACUUUAUUUUUAAAUGUCUUUAUUACUCUUUUGAAAUACUCUUCAGCUGUUUUUUUCUUUGGCUGAUGUCUGUGGUUGGAUUAAUGUCAUCAUCAUGUGUUUAUCAAUAUUUUUUUAUCACCUAUCAAGUUUUAUUCAGCAAAGGAACUAAAGAAAAUAUAAAGAAGAAAAGAUGAUAAAAAGAUUCUCUCUCAUAGAUACAUUUCUGGAUUUUGAGUUAAACCACAUUAUAA
RNAcentral lists this long non-coding RNA (412 nucleotides) under Androctonus crassicauda. Lineage: Eukaryota; Metazoa; Arthropoda; Arachnida; Scorpiones; Buthidae. The record is from RNAcentral.